RNAcentral lists this ribosomal RNA (301 nucleotides) under uncultured bacterium. RNAcentral's name for it is "partial 16S ribosomal RNA". It matches the Rfam family "Bacterial small subunit ribosomal RNA", at positions 509 to 809 of the family's 1533-position model. The record is from RNAcentral.
CAGUCGCCACGGUAACACGUAGGUGGCAAGCGUUGCCCGGAAUUAUUGGGCGUAAAGGGCUCGCAGGCGGUUUCUUAAGUCUGAUGUGAAAGCCCCCGGCUCAACCGGGGAAGGUCAUUGGAAACUGGGAAACUUGAGUGCAGAAGAGGAGAGUGGAAUUCCACGUGUAGCGGUGAAAUGCGUAGAGAUGUGGAGGAACACCAGUGGCGAAGGCGACUCUCUGGUCUGUAACUGACGCUGAGGAGCGAAAGCGUGGGGAGCGAACAGGAUUAGAGACCCCUGUAGUCCCUGUCUCUUAUAA